CCUUGGCGCGAAUGCAUCAAACGUAAACAAACUUUCGAGAAACUUUGAGCCUCAGAUUUAAGAUCUUUACGGGAUUAACCUUUACGAUGCCUCCAAUACGUGUUAAAUACGUCAUUUCAUUCACCUCACAGGCUCCCAAGAACACAGUAGAAGACUUGGUGAGGGGCCGAGGAUCUUGGCUUUGCGAUGCAAGUGACAGGACUGGACGCUUGCAGGCAGAUAUCCAGUUAGAACGAGCUACCACAAUAUCAUAUAUUGACCUUGGGAAUGCUGGGAGUGUAAUGGUAAGCAUUGAAGUAGGCCGUUCUUCAUGGCCUUCAGAUAAGCCCUUCAUGGCAUUACUGCCUACAGUAGCAUUGAUGACCCCAGCAGAAUGGCGUGCAGGCAAGAAUUCAAAGACAGUCCGCAUGUUCAAGAAAGAGGAUUUAGAUCAGAACGCAGUCAAAGAAAAGUGGGAUCGUGUUAGAAUUAUAUGCACUCAGCCAUUUCGAAAAGAUGCACAGUUUGGACUGGCUCUAUUUUGCCUCCACACCACUGAUGAGAGUCAUGUGCAGGAUGAAGUGUCAGCAUUUAACCCACAAUGUGUUCCACCUCAAGGGACACAUUCUGACAUGAAGAAAGAAGAACUUGUUUCAAGAAUGAACCUUCCAACUGUAAAGAAGAAAGUUAUGUCUCAGAGCAUAGGUUGGCUUGAGAAUAAAGUGCUGACAAAUGGUGAAGAAGCAAAUGCGAGUAAUCCCUUCACUUCCCCAGUCUCUCGAGCAGCUCGUCUUGUGGUCAUGGCAACAAAGCCAGCAAAUAAGGAGAGUGUGGCUUCCCAUAAGGCCAGUCUGGAAUGUGAAGCUCUGGACUUCCUUAUAUCUCUUAACUUGAAUAUUGAAGAAAUCAAUUCUUUAAAAGUAUCUGGUGUUCGUCAGCAGUUUGAACAGCAUAGGCAGAAAAUGUUAAACCAUGAUGAAAAAAUUAUAUUUAAAGAUAUUGCUUUAGAUUAUGCUAAGAAUAGAUUAGAAAGUCUAGAAAAGAAGGUUGAAAAGUCCAUAGAAAGUGAUACUUGGAAGAACAAAGGUACAGCAAUUAAGCAACAGAAGCAAUUAAAAAAAGAAAAAGAAAAUAAGUUCAAAGGGAACAUUUCAAAAAAGAACAUGAGCAAAAACAGUGAUGAAGAGAAGAGAAAAACAUUGGCUGCUAUGAGCAAGCAAGUAAACAAGCCAGCUAAUCUCCCUGUACAGCAGAAUUCUCAUGGAAAAUUUACAUUUAAAAAGAUAGAGGCUCCUGGAAGUUCUCUAACAUUGCUGAAGAAAUCACCAGUCAGCAGAAAAGAACACCAAAAGAGUGACCUCAAAACUCAGUCACCCUCAGGUUUGUCUCGUAAUGAGCUGGCUCUCUCUGAUGCCAAAGUUACGCCUCCCAAAAGACCAAGGGGCCAGCCUAAGAAGUCAGUCACCCCAAAGAUAAGAGACAGUAAACAGCCAACAGUAAAUACAUGGAUAACACCAGUGGCCAAAAGAAAGAGAGAAGAGCCACACUUCUCUGAUUCAGCUCAAGCUUCUCAGAAAUUUUCAAAGGAAUUAGAUGACAUAAGCAGUGGCCUUAUUUGGACUGACAGUGAUGAUGAGGACAUGAAUGAGAAGAAGCAAGGAGGAGGAUUUAUGGAUGACACAACUUCAGUAGUGGUUCCUAGACACACACAGUCUGGUAAUGUCUUGGGCACUGCCCCAUCUGACAAGUUUGGAGUAACACAGGCCAGGAAAAAGUCCAGAGGAGGUAGCGCAGACCACACCCAAUCUGCAGUUUCAAGCUAUAGCCACUCUUCAACAAUGAUGGAGUGCCCAUUGUGUUCAGGUAAUUUUAAAAGUUCUAUUAUCUCUCUUCAGGUUUCUUCCAUCCAUCAAAGAUCCAAUCACAUGCUGCUUCAUGCGGUAUUGUGAUAUCCUCAGAUUCCGACUCAGAUUCUGACUGUGGACAAAGAAGCAACAGGGGCAGUGAACAAAAUCAGAGAGGCAGCCUGGAAGAGUGCCCUGUGUGUGGUGACUUCAUCAACAGUUUGGACCUGCAAGAACAUGCAGCAGAAUGUGCUAAUUCGACAUUUGAUUGAAAAACAUUCAAGUCUCAAAGUUUUUAUAUUUUUUAUUUUAAAAUUUAUGUUCAAUAUUAAAAGAGAAGAAUAUGUAACUUGAAAUGAAAAUCAGCAUUUUGUAUGAUGAUUUAAAAUUUACACUAUGUACGUAUGAGUUACAAUUCUAAAGAAAAUAUUGAAAAAGAUUUAAAACAAGAAACAAAUUUUAUUAUUACAUAUUUAUAUUAGUGUAUACUACAGAAUGAAUUGACUCGCAUGCAACCUGUAAAGUUUUAAGUAAACAUUUUAUGAGUGUU
Molecule: unclassified non-coding RNA, 2373 nt
Filed under: Penaeus monodon (black tiger shrimp)
Lineage: Eukaryota; Metazoa; Arthropoda; Malacostraca; Decapoda; Penaeidae
Description: uncharacterized LOC119581858, transcript variant X1
Source: RNAcentral